RNAcentral lists this ribosomal RNA (538 nucleotides) under uncultured bacterium. RNAcentral describes it as "bacterial SSU rRNA". It matches the Rfam family "Bacterial small subunit ribosomal RNA", at positions 358 to 916 of the family's 1533-position model. The record is from RNAcentral.
GGAAUCUUGCACAAUGGAGGAAACUCUGAUGCAGCGAUGCCGCGUGAGUGAAGAAGGCCUUUGGGUUGUAAAGCUCUUUUGUAGGGGAAGAUAAUGACUGUACCCUAAGAAUAAGGUCCGGCUAACUUCGUGCCAGCAGCCGCGGUAAUACGAAGGGACCUAGCGUAGUUCGGAAUUACUGGGCGUAAAGCGCGCGUAGGCCGUUGAGUCAGUUAAUUGUGAAAUCCCAAAGCUUAACUUUGGAACUGCAAUUAAAACUGCUCGACUAGAGUUUGAUAGAGGAAAGCGGAAUACAUAGUGUAGAGGUGAAAUUCGUAGAUAUUAUGUAGAACACCAGUUGCGAAGGCGGCUUUCUGGAUCAACACUGACGCUGAGGCGCGAAAGUAUGGGUAGCAAAGAGGAUUAGAUACCCUCGUAGUCCAUACCAUAAACGAUGAUUGCUAGAUGUUGGAAAUUUAUUUUCAGUAUCGCAGCUAACGCAUUAAGCAAUCCGCCUGGGGAGUACGACCGCAAGGUUAAAACUCAAAUGAAUUGACGG